UCGAGAAUCUUCGGCAAUGGGCGAAAGCCUGACCGAGCGAUGCCGCGUGCGGGAUGAAGGCCUUCGGGUUGUAAACCGCUGUCGUAGGGGAGAAAGGGUCGUUGAAGAAACGACUUUGAUCUAUCCCUAGGAGGAAGUCCGGGCUAAGUUCGUGCCAGCAGCCGCGGUAACACGAACCGGACAAACGUUAUUCGGAAUUACUGGGCUUAAAGGGUGCGUAGGCGGUGCGGUAAGUGCGGUGUGAAAUCCCACGGCUCAACCGUGGAAUUGCGCUGCAUACUGCCGUGCUAGAGGGAGACAGGGGUAAGCGGAACUGAUGGUGGAGCGGUGAAAUGCGUUGAUAUCAUCAGGAACACCGGUGGCGAAAGCGGCUUACUGGGUCUCUUCUGACGCUGAGGCACGAAAGCGUGGGGAGCAAACAGGAUUAGAUACCCCUGUAGUCCCUGAGCGGGCUGGCAAGGCGCAU
Molecule: ribosomal RNA, 466 nt
Filed under: uncultured bacterium
Lineage: Bacteria
Description: bacterial SSU rRNA
Rfam family: Bacterial small subunit ribosomal RNA
Source: RNAcentral